Molecule: ribosomal RNA, 250 nt
Filed under: uncultured Acidobacteriota bacterium
Lineage: Bacteria; Pseudomonadati; Acidobacteriota
Description: uncultured Acidobacteria bacterium partial 16S ribosomal RNA
Rfam family: Bacterial small subunit ribosomal RNA
Source: RNAcentral
UACGUAGGGUGCAAGCGUUGUCCGGAAUUAUUGGGCGUAAAGAGCUCGUAGGCGGUCUGUCGCGUCUGCUGUGAAAACUCGGGGCUUAACCCCGGGCCUGCAGUGGGUACGGGCAGACUAGAGUGCGGUAGGGGAGACUGGAAUUCCUGGUGUAGCGGUGAAAUGCGCAGAUAUCAGGAGGAACACCGGUGGCGAAGGCGGGUCUCUGGGCCGUAACUGACGCUGAGGAGCGAAAGCAUGGGGAGCGAAC